Molecule: non-coding RNA, 2801 nt
Organism: Microcebus murinus (gray mouse lemur)
Lineage: Eukaryota; Metazoa; Chordata; Mammalia; Primates; Cheirogaleidae
Source: RefSeq, a predicted model, not a curated record
CCCGCCCAAAGGGGUCUCCGCAGGGCCCCCCCGCAGGGCCCCGCCCAAACUGGGGUCCCAGGGUCGGGCGUGUUUGAGGACCGAGUGUGCUCAGCAGGCCUGGCGGGGGGCGGGGCUGGCUAACGGCUCACAAAGUCCCUCACCGAGGCCACAAUGUGGCCAGAACAAGGGCUCCCGAGACCGCUGGGACCGGGGCUGGGGUCCGUGGAGCUAGCUGCAGGAGCCCUGGGGCCACCGAGUGUCCCACGCCCCAGAGCCGAGCGUCACGGUGUCACCGGGCCUUGAGGCUGGUGUGGCUCCACGUGGCAGGGCCACACCACCGUCACGCGGCCACCUCAGCUAAGGGGCGGAAGGCUCAGCGGUGACCCAGAGGGGACACAACUCCUUCCGGGAGGCCACGGAAGAGUCCACGUCCCCACCCCACCCGCCUCUGCUGGGCCUUUCUCACGGGGUUCCUUGGGCGUUUCGGGGCUCAGGGCCACCCCGUCUCUCCCGCCCCAGCCCGUCACACGCUCCCCGAUGCUGGCAUCGCCCCCUGCUUGAUGGCCCCAGGCUCCCGUGGGACCCCCAGGACGUCAGGCUUCACCGAGAGGCGCCUCCCAGUCCACCCCCCAUCAGACGGCUCUCCCGGUCCCAGCCCCCCAGCUCCGCGUCCAAGGUGGUCUUGAAUCCAAUUUUCUUGUUGUUGUUGUUGAGCCACCAUUUUACCAAGCACGUUAGGAAGUGCUGAUGGGACGUGACCUCCUCUCUUCUCCCGGUCCCCCUGGAGUGAGUGUCAUCACCCCAUUUUCCAGGUGAGAAAACUGAGGCUCAGGGAGGUGACAGGACCCACCCCCAGACGCCGGUUCACCCCCUCCAGCAUCCGUCCUCCCUGGUCUGAGCGAGAGCCCCGCCCUGCCCCACCCACACCUGGACCGGGCACAGGCAGGUCGCCCCGGGGCCAGGCACGGCCAGACGGAGCCCCCGGGGCCGGAGCCUCCCUGGGCCCCUGCGGAAGGGGAGCCCCUUUCGAAGAGACGGAUCUGCAGGGACUCAGGAGAGCUGUCUGUGUGGAGGCACCUCCUUCCUGCAGCCCUUCAGCUGGGGGGCCACCUCGGAGGAGUGCCCACCCCUCCUAAGGGACCCCCAGGUCUCCACUCGUUCCCCUGGUGAGGGGCACACGAUCCGGGCUGCCCCCAGGCCCUACACCUCAGAACGGAGCCCCCACCUCGCAUGGGGUGCAGAACCCCCCUGGGGCUGCUCUCUGGGAAGGGGCCAUGUGGCCUGGAGGGUAGGGGCCCUCUGAGCCCGGGCGCCCCAGCUGUAAACAGGACGGGCAGCUGCUCCCCCUCCGGGGUCUCCCCGGCCCUGCACCCCCAGAUAACCAGCCCCGCCCCUUCUGCACACACGUGCCCCGCACUGGAGGGUCCGGGUCCUCCCUCCGGGGGGCCAUGGCGUGGCUGACGUGCUCCCCGGCAGUGCUGGCCUCUGGCCCACCUCCCACUCAACCCUACCGUGGAACCCCAACCCGGAGCCAGAGCCCGCAGGAAGGCCCGGAGGCGAGCCCCCCGCCAGAGAGCCCUGCCGUCCGCUCCAGCCGCGCUGGGGGGGCCGCCCGGGGCUCCGACUGCCCCGUCCACGCCGGGCCCAGACCGCACGGAGCAACGCGGCUAGUUAAAAGUUUUAUUGAUUGAGCACAAUUGAGUGUAAGUAGUAAAAGUUCUCCUGAUGUAACCCACUUUUUCUUAAUGGGUAAUCUCAGACACUCAAGUUUGUAUGUUAAAGGAGGUUUAGGACAAUUUAAUAGCUCAUAAAAUUUUAUAGUCCCAGUUGAAAUCAGAGUGAUAACCCAGGCCUGCACAGCUAUAGUUUGCUAAAUGUCUCUCAUCUAUUUUUUCUCCUGUUUAUUGGAAAGUUAACAUCUGCUCUGCUAUCGGGGGUGGGGGGCAGAAGGAAAAUGAUCUAUUUUUCCAGAGGAGAGGUAAGAGGUUCGGGCUCUCCUGGCAGCCUCCUCUCCUCCAAACACACGACUUCCCUGUAAGUGGGAAGGGGGCUCAGGGCCGGGGCUGACCCGAGGUUCACCGCACAGCGCGCAGGCCCCGCGCCCCACGGCGGCUGCCGAGACAGGAGCAUCUACCAGGGCCGGGCCCUGCCUUGGGAUCAGCUCGGAUCUGUCAGAGCUCACAACCAGGAAGUGUACAAAGCCCCUACUGUGUGCAUGGUCGGGGCGAGGGGGCAGGACACAAAGAACUAGGACGCAAGCUCUCAGCUUCAGAAGCUAAAACCGUGCCGAGCUCUGCGCCCGGCACAGCGGCCAGAGGGCGCCGGGAAGAGUGGCCUUUCCACGGUGCCUGGGGGGGGCAAGCUGGGUCGGGGCUCCAGGGAUGGGUGAGCUUUAGAGUCGGUGGAAGGGACAGAGAGCCCAGCGUCCUGGCUGCACCACUGACCAGCUGCAACCUGCCCUGGGGAGCCCAGUGUCCCGGUCUUUGCAGCGGGAAUCACAUCAGCCCGACAUCCCAGGGCCGGCGUAAGGGUGAAAUAACGUGCGGAAAGGCGGCCGGUAUCCGGUGCUCAAAACGUGUCACUAUAGAGACCUGGAGGGAAACCGUGCGGUGGGUUCUGAGAAAGUCAGACACAGAAGGUCCGUGUCACCCAGCACUACCGGCCCCAGGACACGUGCGCCCAGAAAGAUUGAAAACUGGCAGCCAAGUACACACACACACGUGGCUGGAGCCCCAUCAUAGUGGUCAAAAGGUGCAAACAGGCCGGGCGCGGUGGCUCACGCCUGUAAUCCUAGCACCCUGGGAGGCCGAGGCGGGUGG